RNAcentral lists this unclassified non-coding RNA (433 nucleotides) under soil metagenome. RNAcentral describes it as "partial contains 5.8S ribosomal RNA, internal transcribed spacer 2, and large subunit ribosomal RNA". The stretch from base 1 to 120 matches the Rfam family "5.8S ribosomal RNA", at positions 35 to 154 of the family's 154-position model. The record is from RNAcentral.
GAUGAAGAACGUAGCGAAAUGCGAUACGUAAUGUGAAUUGCAGAAUUCAGUGAAUCAUCGAAUCUUUGAACGCAUAUUGCGCUCUCUGGUAUUCCGGAGAGCAUGCUUGUUUGAGUAUCAGUAAACACCUCAACUUCCAUAUCUUUUUUGAAAUUGGAGUCGGACUUGAGUGAUCCCAACGCUUUUCCUCACCGAAAAGUGGCGGGUUACUUGAAAUGCAGGUGCAGCUGGACUUUUCUCUGAGCUAUAAGCAUAUCUAUUUAGUCUGCCUAAAAAACAGAUUAUUACCUUUGCUGCAGCUAACAUAAAGGAGAUUAGUUCUUGUGCUGACUGAUGCAGGAUUCACAAAGACAGGCUUCGGCCGACUUUGUAAACUCGAUCUCAAAUCAAGUAAGACUACCCGCUGAACUUAAGCAUAUCAAUAAGCGGAGGA